AUGGAUGGCUGGGCGCGCGACGACGCGGAGCCCUCCUGUCGCUAUGGCGCCCCAGUGGAGUGCCCUGAGGCCGCGGAUGCUGCUCCUACAUCCGCCCUCGAGGCUGAGCAGCCGCCAUUGGCUCGUGGGUAUGGAAGCAGAGUCCGGGAUGGCGAUCGUGCCAAGGAGGACUCUUGGACGUCCACCGAUUGCAUCGCUGCUGCCGUACCCAUGGAGUGGCGCGGCUCGAACUACUCUGAGAUGGUAUUCCUCCCUCUUUCUUUCCUAACAGAACUAUUCUUGUGUCAUCCCCUUUUUUAA
Molecule: ribosomal RNA, 300 nt
Filed under: Triticum aestivum (bread wheat)
Lineage: Eukaryota; Viridiplantae; Streptophyta; Magnoliopsida; Poales; Poaceae
Description: partial small subunit ribosomal RNA
Source: RNAcentral